Molecule: long non-coding RNA, 476 nt
Organism: Sphaeramia orbicularis (orbiculate cardinalfish)
Lineage: Eukaryota; Metazoa; Chordata; Actinopteri; Kurtiformes; Apogonidae
Exons: 3
Source: RefSeq, a predicted model, not a curated record
ACAGAGGACACGGCUCGCGCCCCCCCCCCAGGUGCAGAUGACGCUCUACACCAGGAAACACAGUUAUCUGCUGAGCAGCAAUUUAUGAAGCACUGUCGAGUCUGGAACUCAGGAAGUCCACCCAAGGAAACAACACAAACCCCUCCAGGAGGCUGAAACCUGUCUGUUCAUCCUGUUGUGGACUUCUAGUAUAUUUGUGAGUAUCCCAGACCCCCUCCCCCCACCACCCCCCCUGCUCCUAGCCCAGGCCCUGCUGCUCCUCCUGCUCAGCUCAGCUCUGGCUCCCUCUAGCCGUGCCUCCAUGUUUCCUUGUUAAUGCACUCCAUACUGCCCUGUCCCACCCUGCUCUCUACCACCCUCUAGACACCCACAUACACCUGAAAACCUCCAGAUCUGGCUCUAAAUGUGCCCCCCAUGGCUCCUAGAACCCUCCUGGUCUUCCAUGGGCCCCAUUGGCCACAGCUCAGGGCUGGAUU